Molecule: ribosomal RNA, 867 nt
Filed under: uncultured bacterium
Lineage: Bacteria
Description: bacterial SSU rRNA
Rfam family: Bacterial small subunit ribosomal RNA
Source: RNAcentral
UGGCGGCGUGCCUAAUACAUGCAAGUCGUACGGUUCUGUUCGAGUGGGUAACUAUUUGGACAGGAUAGUGGCGAACGGGUGAGAAAUACGUAGAUAAUCUACCCUCGGGUCUGGUUUAUAACAGCUCGAAAGAGUUGCUAAUACCGGAUAAUACACGGGAAUGCCUGUUUCUGUGUUGAAAGACGGCGCAAGCUGUGCCCUUGGCUGAGUCUACGCACCAUUAGCUAGUUGGCGGAGUAAUAGCCCACCAAGGCUACGAUGGUUAGCCGGCCUGAGAGGGUGUCCGGCCACAUUGGGAUUGAGAUACGGCCCAGACUCCUACGGGAGGCAGCAGUAGGGAAUUUUCCGCAAUGGGCGAAAGCCUGACGGAGCGACGCCGCGUGGGCGAUGAAGGUCUUCGGAUCGUAAAGCCCGGUCGAUAGGGAAGAAGGUCAUUCAGGUGAAUAAUCUGAGUGGCUUGACUGUACCUGUGGAGGAAGCCACGGCCAAUUACGUGCCAGCAGCCGCGGUAAUACGUAAGUGGCAAGCGUUAUCCGGAAUCACUGGGUGUAAAGGGUGUGUAGGUGGCGAUAUAAGUCUUGAGUUAAAUCCCGCAGCUCAACUGCGGAACCGCUUGAGAAACUGUAUUGCUUGAGUAAGGAAGAGGAGAGUGGAAUUCCGUGUGUAGCGGUGAAAUGUGUAGAUAUACGGAGGAACACCAGUGGCGAAGGCGACUCUCUGGUCCUUUACUGACACUGAGGCACGAAAGCCGGGGGAGUGAACAGGAUUAGAUACCCUGGUAAUCCCGGCCCUAAACGAUGUUCACUAGGUGUAGGAGGUAUCGACCCCUUCUGUGCCGCAGCUAACGCAUUAAGUGAACCACCUGGG